This 402-nucleotide unclassified non-coding RNA is filed under the name soil metagenome. RNAcentral's name for it is "partial contains 5.8S ribosomal RNA, internal transcribed spacer 2, and large subunit ribosomal RNA". The stretch from base 1 to 121 matches the Rfam family "5.8S ribosomal RNA", at positions 35 to 154 of the family's 154-position model. The record is from RNAcentral.
GAUGAAGAACGUAGCGAAAUGCGAUAAGUAAUGUGAAUUGCAGAAUUCAGUGAAUCAUCGAAUCUUUGAACGCACCUUGCGCCCUUUGGCUAUUCUGAAGGGCAUGCCUGUUUGAGUAUCGUGAACACCUCAACUCUCAUGGUCUGCCAUGAUGAGCUUGGACUUUGGGGGUCUUGCUGGCCUACUGUCAGCUCCUCUCAAAUGAAUCAGCUUACCAGUGUUUGGUGGCACCACAGGUGUGAUAACUAUCUACGCUUGUGGUUUUCUGCCAGGUAACCUCCAGUGAUGGAGGUUCGCUGGAGCUCACAAAUGUCUCUCCUCAGCGAGGACAGCUUUUUGAACGUUUGAUCUCAAAUCAGGUAGGUCUACCCGCUGAACUUAAGCAUAUCAAUAAGCGGAGGA